Molecule: ribosomal RNA, 253 nt
Filed under: uncultured bacterium
Lineage: Bacteria
Description: partial 16S ribosomal RNA
Rfam family: Bacterial small subunit ribosomal RNA
Source: RNAcentral
UACGAAAGGGGCUAGCGUUGUUCGGAAUUACUGGGCGUAAAGCGCACGUAGGCGGCCUUGUAAGGUGGGGGUGAACUCCCCGGGCUCAACCCGGGAACUGCCUUCAUGACUGCAAAGCUAGAGGAUGCGAGAGGUUAGCGGAAUUCCGAGUGUAGAGGUGAAAUUCGUAGCUAGUCGGAAGAACACCAGUGGCGAAGGCGGCUAACUGGCGCAUUUCUGACGCUGAGGUGCGAACCCGUGGGGAGCAAACAGG